ACUAAAAUAGUUUAACUAAAAAUAUUAAUUUUGUAAAUUAAAGACGUCUUUCUUUUAGUA
RNAcentral lists this transfer RNA (60 nucleotides) under Metacrangonyx sp. 4 MDMBR-2012. RNAcentral describes it as "transfer RNA Threonine". Lineage: Eukaryota; Metazoa; Arthropoda; Malacostraca; Amphipoda; Metacrangonyctidae. The record is from RNAcentral.